GGUCAAAUCAUCAUGCCCCUUAUACCCUGGGCUACACACGUGCUACAAUGGCUCAUACAAAGAGAAGCGAAACUGUGAAGUGAAGCAAACCUCAUAAAGUGAGUCUCAGUUCGGAUUGUAGUCUGCAACUCGACUACAUGAAGAUGGAAUCGCUAGUAAUCGCGGAUCAGCAUGCCGCGGUGAAUACGUUCCCGGGUCUU
This 200-nucleotide ribosomal RNA is filed under the name uncultured prokaryote. Its description in RNAcentral is "partial 16S ribosomal RNA". It matches the Rfam family "Bacterial small subunit ribosomal RNA", at positions 1183 to 1382 of the family's 1533-position model. The record is from RNAcentral.